CGUAAGGCGUAUGCAAUCUGCCUUCAACUGGAGAAUAGCCCGAAGAAAUUCGGAUUAAUACUCCAUAGUAUUAAAGUAUGGCAUCAUAUUUUAAUUAAAGCUUCGGCGGUUGAAGAUGAGCAUUCGUGACAUUAGCUUGUUGGUGAGGUAACGGCUCACCAAGGCUACGAUGUCUAGGGGAUCUGAGAGGACUAACCCCCACACUGGUACUGAGACACGGACCAGACUCC
Molecule: ribosomal RNA, 230 nt
Filed under: uncultured bacterium
Lineage: Bacteria
Description: partial 16S ribosomal RNA
Rfam family: Bacterial small subunit ribosomal RNA
Source: RNAcentral